RNAcentral lists this ribosomal RNA (1552 nucleotides) under Citrobacter koseri. RNAcentral describes it as "bacterial SSU rRNA". It matches the Rfam family "Bacterial small subunit ribosomal RNA". RNAcentral also lists the same sequence under 1 other name. The record is from RNAcentral. Lineage: Bacteria; Pseudomonadati; Pseudomonadota; Gammaproteobacteria; Enterobacterales; Enterobacteriaceae.
AAAUUGAAGAGUUUGAUCAUGGCUCAGAUUGAACGCUGGCGGCAGGCCUAACACAUGCAAGUCGAACGGUAACAGGGAGCAGCUUGCUGCUUCGCUGACGAGUGGCGGACGGGUGAGUAAUGUCUGGGAAACUGCCUGAUGGAGGGGGAUAACUACUGGAAACGGUAGCUAAUACCGCAUAACGUCGCAAGACCAAAGAGGGGGACCUUCGGGCCUCUUGCCAUCAGAUGUGCCCAGAUGGGAUUAGCUUGUUGGUGGGGUAACGGCUCACCAAGGCGACGAUCCCUAGCUGGUCUGAGAGGAUGACCAGCCACACUGGAACUGAGACACGGUCCAGACUCCUACGGGAGGCAGCAGUGGGGAAUAUUGCACAAUGGGCGCAAGCCUGAUGCAGCCAUGCCGCGUGUAUGAAGAAGGCCUUCGGGUUGUAAAGUACUUUCAGCGGGGAGGAAGGUGUUGUGGUUAAUAACCGCAGCAAUUGACGUUACCCGCAGAAGAAGCACCGGCUAACUCCGUGCCAGCAGCCGCGGUAAUACGGAGGGUGCAAGCGUUAAUCGGAAUUACUGGGCGUAAAGCGCACGCAGGCGGUCUGUUAAGUCAGAUGUGAAAUCCCCGGGCUCAACCUGGGAACUGCAUCUGAUACUGGCAGGCUUGAGUCUCGUAGAGGGGGGUAGAAUUCCAGGUGUAGCGGUGAAAUGCGUAGAGAUCUGGAGGAAUACCGGUGGCGAAGGCGGCCCCCUGGACGAAGACUGACGCUCAGGUGCGAAAGCGUGGGGAGCAAACAGGAUUAGAUACCCUGGUAGUCCACGCCGUAAACGAUGUCGACUUGGAGGUUGUGCCCUUGAGGCGUGGCUUCCGGAGCUAACGCGUUAAGUCGACCGCCUGGGGAGUACGGCCGCAAGGUUAAAACUCAAAUGAAUUGACGGGGGCCCGCACAAGCGGUGGAGCAUGUGGUUUAAUUCGAUGCAACGCGAAGAACCUUACCUGGUCUUGACAUCCACGGAAGUUUUCAGAGAUGAGAAUGUGCCUUCGGGAACCGUGAGACAGGUGCUGCAUGGCUGUCGUCAGCUCGUGUUGUGAAAUGUUGGGUUAAGUCCCGCAACGAGCGCAACCCUUAUCCUUUGUUGCCAGCGGUCCGGCCGGGAACUCAAAGGAGACUGCCAGUGAUAAACUGGAGGAAGGUGGGGAUGACGUCAAGUCAUCAUGGCCCUUACGACCAGGGCUACACACGUGCUACAAUGGCAUAUACAAAGAGAAGCGACCUCGCGAGAGCAAGCGGACCUCAUAAAGUAUGUCGUAGUCCGGAUUGGAGUCUGCAACUCGACUCCAUGAAGUCGGAAUCGCUAGUAAUCGUGGAUCAGAAUGCCACGGUGAAUACGUUCCCGGGCCUUGUACACACCGCCCGUCACACCAUGGGAGUGGGUUGCAAAAGAAGUAGGUAGCUUAACCUUCGGGAGGGCGCUUACCACUUUGUGAUUCAUGACUGGGGUGAAGUCGUAACAAGGUAACCGUAGGGGAACCUGCGGUUGGAUCACCUCCUUACCUUAAAGAA